GGGGCUGACCGGUUUAGACAGCGGGUAGAAGUGGUUUGUAAGCAUGCAGUGCGUCGUUGGCCGGCACUUUAAUCUCGGUUGAUAAACAGCUAAAUGGCGAAAAUAAUUACGCUCUCGCUGCAUAGUCGAAUAACAGUAGAUUAUAGCUUUAUCCUUACACAAGGUGUUUGGACGAGACAUUACCCGAAAGCUCUGGCUUCGAAGCGUUCGAUCAGGUAGUGCAGGAAAAUCGGAGAUAGUCUGCAGGAGGUCUCGCACUGCAGAUGAAGCUGAAGAGAAUAAGGUUGCGGUUGGUAGCUUGGGUCUUGCCGCAUCACGAAAAUCAAAGCCGGGAUAAGCAUGUAGAAAGCAAAUUAAUUCCUCGUUUGGACGAGAGUUCGAAUCUCUCCAGCUCCACCU
This 399-nucleotide transfer-messenger RNA is filed under the name Tannerella sp. It matches the Rfam family "transfer-messenger RNA". Rfam says of the family: Bacterial tmRNA, also known as 10Sa RNA or SsrA, is named for its dual tRNA and mRNA-like properties. Its role is to liberate the mRNA from a stalled ribosome. To accomplish this part of the tmRNA is used as a reading frame that ends in a translation stop signal. Lineage: Bacteria; Pseudomonadati; Bacteroidota; Bacteroidia; Bacteroidales; Tannerellaceae. The record is from RNAcentral.